Passer domesticus (house sparrow) is the source of this 704-nucleotide long non-coding RNA. RefSeq lists it as uncharacterized. NCBI's taxonomy places the organism in Eukaryota, Metazoa, Chordata, Aves, Passeriformes, Passeridae. The transcript has 3 exons. The record is from RefSeq and is a predicted model, not a curated record.
UGUAACUGUUAUUAUUGUGUUGCUUUUCAGGGUGAGCAGCAAGAAGAAAAUCAACUCUUGCAUAACAAUACCGGGCAAUUUUUACUCCAUUCUGAUUUUGCUAUGAGGUUCUUGUGAACUGUAAAGAAUUACUAGAUAAGUGGAGUACUUUCAGUAACUGAAGUUCCACAGAACGGUGUUGGCGGCUCUGGAUGUUUUGUAGUUACCAAGUUGAGAAGGGAGGAGGACUCAGCCUUCCAUUACAUUUUCCUCCAAAGUCUUCAAGAUCAGAAGAAUCCACAACUGCAUAUUCUCAGCCAGUUCAGCCUCAUCUUUUGCCUUUUUACAUGCACACUGCAAAUAUUUCUAUUAUUUAAUGACUUACUGUUAUGCAAGUAGAAUAAUACUGCCAGUACCUGUUUUGUUGAGUUGCACUCACUGGGUCAAUUACUGAUAGAAGGAUUAUUCUUGUUCAUAGCACUGGAAUAGAGUACAAUUCAUCCCUUGCUGAGGCUUCCCCCAGACCUCCCAUGACACUGGCACUUCAUGCUGAAGAAAGAUCAGAGAAAGUAGACUUGUGAACAUUUCCUUUGGUAAUGUUACAGUGUGACAGAUGAUAUAUUUGGGUUGCUAUAUGAGCAUACACUUUGGAAUAUCUGACUUCUGUAGAGCAGAAUAUUAUCACUGCUAUUUUCCAGUAAAGUCAGCAGAAUGGUGAAUGGAAA